Molecule: ribosomal RNA, 253 nt
Filed under: uncultured bacterium
Lineage: Bacteria
Description: partial 16S ribosomal RNA
Rfam family: Bacterial small subunit ribosomal RNA
Source: RNAcentral
UACGAAGGGGGCUAGCGUUGCUCGGAAUCACUGGGCGUAAAGGGUGCGUAGGCGGGUCUUUAAGUCAGGGGUGAAAUCCUGGAGCUCAACUCCAGAACUGCCUUUGAUACUGAAGAUCUUGAGUUCGGGAGAGGUGAGUGGAACUGCGAGUGUAGAGGUGAAAUUCGUAGAUAUUCGCAAGAACACCAGUGGCGAAGGCGGCUCACUGGCCCGAUACUGACGCUGAGGCACGCAAGCGUGGGGAGCAAACAGG